This 1326-nucleotide ribosomal RNA is filed under the name Triticum aestivum (bread wheat). RNAcentral's name for it is "partial small subunit ribosomal RNA". Lineage: Eukaryota; Viridiplantae; Streptophyta; Magnoliopsida; Poales; Poaceae. The record is from RNAcentral.
AUGGCCGCCUAUGCUGGGCUGUUGCGCGUCGCCCUCGUCCUCAUCGCCGCCGCCGCGACCUGGGCGGCGGCGCUAGACGACCCGGCGGGGCUUCUGCGACGGGCCAAGGAGGCGGAGUUCAUGGACUGGAUGGUGGGGGUGCGCCGGCGGAUCCACGAGAACCCUGAGCUCGGCUACGAGGAGUUUGACACCAGUGAGCUCGUGCGGCGCGAGCUCGAUGCCAUGGGGAUCCCCUACAGGCAUCCCUUCGCGGUCACCGGCGUCGUCGCCACCGUCGGCACAGGCGGCCCGCCCUUCGUCGCGCUUCGGGCCGACAUGGACGCGCUCCCUAUGCAGGAAAGCGUGGAAUGGGAACAUAAGAGCAAAGUGCCUGGGAAGAUGCAUGGAUGUGGCCAUGAUGCACAUGUUGCUAUGCUAUUGGGUUCUGCUAAGAUUCUUCAGGAGCACCGUGACGAGUUGAAGGGUACUGUAGCCCUUCUUUUCCAACCAGCUGAGGAAGGUGGUGGUGGAGCCAAGAAAAUGGUAGAAGCCGGAGCUGUGGAAAACAUAGAGGUCAUGUUUGGACUUCAUGUAGCUGACAGUGUGCCGAUUGGUGUGCUGGCAUCCAGACCUGGGCCUAUAAUGGCAGGGAGUGGAUUCUUUGAGGCAGUAAUAAGUGGAAAGGGAGGGCAUGCUGCACUUCCUCAUCACACUAUUGAUCCAAUACUGGCUGCAUCCAAUGUUAUUGUAAGCCUUCAGCAACUUGUUUCCCGAGAAGCUGACCCCUUGGACUCACAGGUAGUAACGGUUGGAAAGUUUCAAGGUGGUGGAGCCUUCAAUGUUAUCCCUGAUUCAGUGACAAUAGGUGGUACCUUCCGAGCCUUUAUGAAGGAGAGUUUUAAUCAAUUGAAGCAGCGAAUUGAAGAGGUAACAACGAGGGUCAUAGUCACACAGGCAUCUGUCCAGCGCUGCAGCGCAGUUGUGGACUUCCUUGACAAAGAUAAGCCUUUCUUCCCUCCAACAAUCAACAAUCCUGAGCUUCACGAUUUCUUUGCGAAGGUGUGCAGUGAGAUGGUUGGCCCCAACAACGUGAGAGAGAAGCAGCCACUGAUGGGUGCCGAGGACUUCUCCUUCUACACCGAGGCCGUUCCCAAGACAUACUACUACUUUGUGGGGAUGCUCAACGAGACUCGUGGACCGCAGGCGCCUCAUCACUCCCCCUACUUCACCAUCAACGAGGAUGCACUGCCCUACGGUGCAGCCAUGCAAGCAUCGUUGGCUGCUCGCUAUCUGCUUGAGCACCAGCCCGCUACCGCUGCUAAGGUGGAACCUCGCGACGAGCUGUAG